ACCGGUUUGACAUUUUAUCUAUUUUUUUUUAUUCUCUCCCUCCGUUCGAUGCGAUGACGACGUCGAAGGUAAACUGCUGAUGAUCACAGAUUCUCCCCCAUACGGCCGGAUGUUAUUAUCUCUAACGAGGUUACGUCAUUUUUUCGAUAAUAUCCGCAGUGUCUUUGCUGGUAAAAAGAGACGAGUUGAUACUCGGACAAUCAUUAUCCAAUAUUAUUUGACGUUAAGAACACAAUACUUAAUUAAGGCGAUC
Molecule: non-coding RNA, 253 nt
Organism: Cinara cedri
Lineage: Eukaryota; Metazoa; Arthropoda; Insecta; Hemiptera; Aphididae
Source: the annotation of a GenBank genome assembly